Molecule: ribosomal RNA, 460 nt
Filed under: uncultured bacterium
Lineage: Bacteria
Description: partial 16S ribosomal RNA
Rfam family: Bacterial small subunit ribosomal RNA
Source: RNAcentral
CCUACGGGAGGCAGCAGUGAGGAAUAUUGGUCAAUGGGCGAGAGCCUGAACCAGCCAAGUCGCGUGAAGGAUGUAGGAUCUAUGGUUUGUAAACUUCUUUUAUAUGGGAAUAAAGUGAGGAACGUGUUCCUUUUUGUAUGUACCAUAUGAAUAAGCAUCGGCGAACUCCGUGCCAGCAGCCGCGGUAAUACGGAGGAUGCGAGCGUUAUCCGGAUUGAUUGGGUGUAAAGGGUGCGUAGGUGGUUAAUUAAGUCAGCGGUUAAAGUUUGUGGCUCAACCAUAAAAUUGCCGUUGAAACUGGUUGGCUUGAGUAUAUUUGAGGUAGGCGGAAUGCGUGGUGUAGCGGUGAAAUGCGUAGAUAUCACGAGGAACUCCGGUUGCGAAGGCAGCUUACUAAACUAUAACUGACGCUGAGGCGCGAAAGCGUGGGGAUCAAACAGGAUUAGAUACCCGAGUAGUC